Non-coding RNA from Biomphalaria pfeifferi, 266 nucleotides. The record is from the annotation of a GenBank genome assembly. NCBI's taxonomy places the organism in Eukaryota, Metazoa, Mollusca, Gastropoda, Planorbidae.
UGGAGCAGCGGGCAUCUAGUGCAUUAGAAAAGAAAAUCGUAUCAGUUUAACUUAAUGCGUGAAAGUACAAGGUUACAAGACAAUGAGAUGAAGGAUGCUUGGGCUGUUUGUGCCAUGGUCGUCAAUGAGUACGACUUGAAGUCACUUUGACGGACAUCUUAUAGUAAACUGAGAGGUCAAUAGAAUCCAAACUAAAGACCUGAGAGGCCCUAUAUAGUUGUAGAUGUAGAUUUAAAAGUGUAUGAAAUAGAAUAAACCUUAAUAAA